Non-coding RNA from Phytophthora ramorum (sudden oak death agent), 46 nucleotides. The record is from Rfam. Lineage: Eukaryota; Oomycota; Peronosporomycetes; Peronosporales; Peronosporaceae.
AUACUGGUGUUUUUUAACACCACCCAUUCUGAAAGAAACCAAAACG